Molecule: ribosomal RNA, 231 nt
Filed under: uncultured bacterium
Lineage: Bacteria
Description: partial 16S ribosomal RNA
Rfam family: Bacterial small subunit ribosomal RNA
Source: RNAcentral
ACGGGUGAGUAACGCGUAGAUAAUGUGCCCUCCUGCGGGGAUACCGUUUCGAAAGGAACGUUAAUACCGCAUAACACGAAUUUAAGGCAUCUUAAGUUCGUCAAACUUCUGGGGUGGGAGGAGCAGUCUGCGUUCUAUCAGCUAGUUGGUGGGGUAAUGGCCUACCAAGGCGACGACGGAUAACUGGUCUGAGAGGAUGAUCAGUCACACUGGAACUGAGACACGGUCCAG